RNAcentral lists this long non-coding RNA (747 nucleotides) under Crocodylus porosus (Australian saltwater crocodile). RNAcentral's name for it is "lncRNA (ENSCPRG00005004287.1)". Lineage: Eukaryota; Metazoa; Chordata; Crocodylia; Crocodylidae. The record is from RNAcentral.
UAUAGAAGUGUGAUUAAACUGAACCUUAUCUUUCUGUGGAAGAAGACAUUAUUAGUAUUAACAUUGCUGAAAUAUAGAAUUGCAGUGUUAGUAUUAAAAGAGAGAAGGUUUCAAAAACUGUAGUAGGGGUUCUUGGUAACUAAAGAGUUAGCUUCAGCUCUUGUUUUGCCUUAAUUUUGACAGGUAAAAGGGUGAAAGUGGCUGCGUGGAAGACAUAAGGGAAGACAUUUUUGGAAGAAUGAUGACCUAUACAACCUCAGCAUAUCCUUCUUGUAACUCAUGGGUAUCAAGACUAUAAAUGUUUCAUGUAUCACAACUAGGACCUCACAUCCUCUUCCUCCUCCUCCUCUGUAGAUGGGUACGAUGCAUCCAGUUCAGUUUGUUUACUUUACACAAACCUCAGGAGUUCGUUGACUGAACUGCACAUUCUUUGUUGUGCCAUGCAAAAGCACUGUGACACCUGGACAAUGAGUCUUUUACUUCAUCCUCUGCUAUACAGACUUAGCUGGCCACAAUGAACUGAUGUGCCCACCACUGUGUCAUGGUAUUUUCAAUAUCUUCACCUCCAAAAUCCCACUGGGACAAGAAAUAGAGAUGCCAGAAUAUCACAAGGAAUAUUGCAGAGUAAUCUUGCUCCAAUUGGACAUGGGAGCUACAGGCAAGCACAGAAAUAAUCAGCCCAGCUUUGGUGCCUUUUGCAAUGUAAGUUGCUUUCCCUGUUGGUUGGCUGUGCCUGUUUCAGGGUAA